AAUGACAGCAAGCAGACAGCGAAGCCCAUGAAGUUGUGAAGUCUGAGCAGCGGCAGAUUCGGACUCCUCGGCUUUUUAUUUUCGCUCCACCACGCUGGGUGUCCGGAGAACCUCGCAGGUUACUCUUGUAAAAUCACCGGUUUAUGUCUAAUGCUGGAGUCCGACGAGCCAGAGUCCACACAUACACAUGAUGCAGAUACGGUUACAGCCACAGGGCAAGAUGUUGAGGCAGCGGGAGUAAACUGGGGAAAACCUACGUCCUUCACACAAGGAGCAGCCUGGACGUGAACCCCCGACUCAUCAACUAAGAGACUACGGCACUGCCACUGUGACACUGAGCACCUAAUUCAUUGAUUAUUAACAAAACAUUAAUGAUUGCCUUUAAAAAUGAUUGUGGAAAAGAUACCUUCUAUUUGAGUGCUGCUUUAGUUAAUACAGUGCAUCUAUGGACCAAUCCUCCCAGGCUACUCCUUAAACUCUCCCAAAUGUCAGUAGUACUUCAAGUUCACAUUCACUCAAGUUGCUUUUCUGUGUGUUCUCUCAUUGUCUGAAAGUAAAAACGUCACUUAGGAACAUGGUCAAAUUUAUAGGAUGACUACAGCCCUGACCAAGCAAAAAGUGUGUACAUGGUCAUACAUUUCAGUAACAAAACAUUUUUGUAUUAAAAUUCAUUUUUUAUUGGUCUUAUGUAAUAUUGUAAUUUUCUGAGAUACUGAAUUUUGGGUUUUCAUUAGCUAUAAUCAGCAAAAUCAAAAGAAAUAAAAGCUUGAAAUAUAUCACUAUGUGUGUAAUGAAUCUAUAUAGGAGUUCCACUAUU
Molecule: long non-coding RNA, 817 nt
Organism: Erpetoichthys calabaricus (reedfish)
Lineage: Eukaryota; Metazoa; Chordata; Cladistia; Polypteriformes; Polypteridae
Exons: 3
Source: RefSeq, a predicted model, not a curated record